RNAcentral lists this transfer RNA (84 nucleotides) under Humisphaera borealis. RNAcentral describes it as "tRNA-Ser". It matches the Rfam family "tRNA". Rfam says of the family: Transfer RNA (tRNA) molecules are approximately 80 nucleotides in length. Their secondary structure includes four short double-helical elements and three loops (D, anti-codon, and T loops). Lineage: Bacteria; Pseudomonadati; Planctomycetota; Phycisphaerae; Tepidisphaerales; Tepidisphaeraceae. The record is from RNAcentral.
GGAGGGUUGGCAGAGUGGUAAUGCACCGCGGUGCUAACGCGGAAUCCCCCCUGGGGAUGGGAGGUUCGAUUCCUCCACCCUCCG